GUUCAUCCGCCCUCAAAUAGGAUCUGUCGGGUUCAUCCGCCCUCAAAUAGGAUAUGUUGGGUUCAUCCGCCCUCAAACAAGAUAUGUUGGGUUCAUCCGCCCUCAAAUAGGAUAUGUUGGUUUCAGUCUUUACAUUUCUUGACAGGCGCCCACCUGAAUAACGAGAGGAAUACAUUUUCUGUCUUUUCAUUCCUGUUCAAGGUCACCCACCAGUAUAAUGCGGGCAUAUCAUUUUUCAUGUCUUUACCAGGAGCCCACCUGUAUAACGAGAGGAAUACUUUUAUGUCUUAGUUUAAACAGGCGCCCACCUGAAUAACGAGAGGAAUACUUUUGUCUGUGCAUUUCAUAUUCUAGGCACCCACCUGUAUAACAAGGGAAUACAUUUUGCGUCUUUGCCAUUAGGCGCCCACCUGUAUAAUAAGGGAAUACAUUCCACGUCUUUACCCAUAGGAGAUGCAUUUCCUCCUAGGUUUGUUUAGUUUUACCCAUAGGAGACGCAUUUCCUCCUAGGUUUGUUUAAUUUUACCCAUAGGAGAUGCAUUUCCUCCUAGGUUUGUUGCAGUUUCACCCAUAGGAGACGCAUUUCCUCCUAGGUUUGUUUCAGUUUCACCCAUAGGAGAUGCAUUUCCUCCUAAGUUCAGUUCUACCAAUAGGAGACGCACUUCCUAAGUUUAUUGCACCCAAUAGGAGAUGCACUUCCUAAGUAAUGCUUUUAUCAGUAGGAGACACACUUCCUAUGAAUAGUUCACCAAUAGGAGACGCACUUCCUAAAGUUUAGUUUCACCCAGUAGGAGACGCACCUCCUAAAAAACAGUUAUCCCCAAUAGGAGACGCACUUCCUAAGUUUAUUAUACCCACAGGAGACGCACUUCCUCAAAGUUAA
RNAcentral lists this long non-coding RNA (883 nucleotides) under Nicotiana tabacum (common tobacco). RNAcentral's name for it is "long non-coding RNA (NTAB_LNC008468)". The record is from RNAcentral. Lineage: Eukaryota; Viridiplantae; Streptophyta; Magnoliopsida; Solanales; Solanaceae.